This 93-nucleotide transfer RNA is filed under the name Burkholderia mallei. Its description in RNAcentral is "tRNA-Ser(cag)". The record is from RNAcentral. Lineage: Bacteria; Pseudomonadati; Pseudomonadota; Betaproteobacteria; Burkholderiales; Burkholderiaceae. RNAcentral also lists the same sequence under 1 other name.
AGCGGCGCCGGCCGGGGCGAGGCGGGCGCGCGCAGCCCGCGCUCGUCGAGAACGCGCGCGAGCUGGCGGGCGAUCGCGUCGCCCGUGUCGAUC